GGAGGUGGCGAGCGUUGUUCGGAUUUACUGGGCGUAAAGCGUGCGUAGGUGGUGGCGUGUGUCGGAUGUGAAAUCCCGGGGGGCUCAACUCCGGAACUGCAUUCGAAACUGCGCCGCUUGAGUGCAGGAGAGGAGAGCGGAAUUCUUGGUGUAGCGGUGAAAUGCGUUGAUAUCAAGAAGAACACCGGUGGCGAAGGCGGCUCUCUGGAAUGCAACUGACACUGAGGCACGAAAGCUGGGGGAGCAAACAGGAUUAGAUACCCUGGUAGUCCCAGCCGUAAACUGUGCGCACUUGGUGUGGGCGGUAUUGACCCCGCCCGUGCCGGAGCUAACGCGUUAAGUGCGCCGCCUGGGGAGUACGGCCGCAAGGUUA
RNAcentral lists this ribosomal RNA (373 nucleotides) under uncultured organism. RNAcentral describes it as "partial 16S ribosomal RNA". It matches the Rfam family "Bacterial small subunit ribosomal RNA", at positions 527 to 896 of the family's 1533-position model. The record is from RNAcentral.